AUGCAAGUCGAACGGGAAUUAGCUUCGGUUAAUUCUAGUGGCGGACGGGUGAGUAACACGUGAGAAUUCGCCUUUAGGAGGGGGAUAACGAAUGGAAACAUUCGCUAAAACCCCAUAUGCCCCUGGGUGAAAAAGAGGAGAUAAGUUAAACUAAGUCACCUCUGCCUGAAGAGAAGCUCGCGGCUGAUUAGCUAGUUGGUAGGGUAAUGGCCUACCAAGGCGACGAUCAGUAGCUGGUCUGAGAGGACGAUCAGCCACACUGGAACUGAGACACGGUCCAGACUCCUACGGGAGGCAGCAGUGAGGAAUUUUCUGCAAUGGGCGAAAGCCUGACAGAGCAAUACCGCGUGAGGGAUGAAGACUUACUGAGUUGUAAACCUCGGUACCUUAAGGAAGAAGAUAUGACGGUACUUAAGGUGGAAAGCAUCGGCUAACUCCGUGCCAGCAGCCGCGGUAAGACGGGGGAUGCAAGUGUUAUCCGGAUUUACUGGGCGUAAAGCGUCUGCAGGUGGUUUCUUAAGUCUACUGUUAAAUCUUGAGGCUCAACCUCAAAUCUGCAGUAGAAACUAGGAGACUUGAGUAUAGUAGGGGUAGAGGGAAUUUCCAGUGGAGCGGUGAAAUGCGUAGAUAUUGGAAAGAACACCGAUGGCGAAGGCACUCUACUGGGCUAUUACUGACACUCAGAGACGAAAGCUAGGGGAGCAAAUGGGAUUAGAUACCCCAGUAGUCCUAGCUGUAAACGAUGGGUACUCGAUGUUGGACGUAUCGACCCGUUCAGUAUCUUAGCUAACGCGUUAAGUAUCCCGCCUGGGGAGUACGCUCGCAGGAGUGAAACUCAAGGAAUUGACGGGGGCCCGCACAAGCGGUGGAGGAUGUGGUUUAAUUCGAUGCACGCGAAGACUUACCAGGUUUGCUAGAGUGUGGUUCCUGAAGAUCUAUCGCUCUACAGUGUGCAUGCUGUCGUCAGCUCGUGUCGUGAGAUGUGGUAGUCCCGCACGAGCGCACCUUAUUUUAGUCCAUGUCUAAAAGACUGCGGUGACAACCGAGAGGUGAGACACACUCAGU
Molecule: ribosomal RNA, 1065 nt
Filed under: uncultured bacterium
Lineage: Bacteria
Description: bacterial SSU rRNA
Rfam family: Bacterial small subunit ribosomal RNA
Source: RNAcentral